This 333-nucleotide ribosomal RNA is filed under the name uncultured bacterium. RNAcentral describes it as "bacterial SSU rRNA". It matches the Rfam family "Bacterial small subunit ribosomal RNA", at positions 568 to 898 of the family's 1533-position model. The record is from RNAcentral.
CGCGUAGGCGGCUUGAUAAGUGUGGUGUGAAAUCUCCAGGGCUUAACCCGGAAACUGCACCGCAGACUGUCAGGCUUGAGGAAUGCAGAGGUAACUGGAAUUCCUGGUGUAGCGGUGAAAUGCGUUGAUAUCAGGAGGAACACCCAUGGCGAAGGCAGGUUACUGGGCAUUAUCUGACGCUGAGGCGCGAAAGCGUGGGUAGCAAACAGGAUUAGAUACCCUGGUAGUCCACGCCCUAAACGAUGGAUACUAGGCGUAAGAGGUAUCGACCCCUCUUGUGCCGCAGCUAACGCACUAAGUAUCCCGCCUGGGGAGUACGGCCGCAAGGUUGAA